RNAcentral lists this ribosomal RNA (208 nucleotides) under uncultured bacterium. RNAcentral describes it as "partial 16S ribosomal RNA". It matches the Rfam family "Bacterial small subunit ribosomal RNA", at positions 568 to 774 of the family's 1533-position model. The record is from RNAcentral.
UGCGUAGGCGGUCCGGAAAGUUGGGUGUGAAAGCCCUCGGCUCAACCGAGGAAUUGCGCCCAAAACUGCCGGACUUGAGGGAGACAUAGGUGAGCGGAACUUAGGGUGGAGCGGUGAAAUGCGUUGAGAUCCUAAGGAACACCAGUAGCGAAAGCGGCUCACUGGGUCUCUUCUGACGCUGAGUGCACGAAAGCUAGGGGAGCGAAGA